Molecule: ribosomal RNA, 243 nt
Filed under: uncultured prokaryote
Description: partial 16S ribosomal RNA
Rfam family: Bacterial small subunit ribosomal RNA
Source: RNAcentral
UGUAGGGUGCAAGCGUUAAUCGGAAUUACUGGGCGUAAAGCGUGCGCAGGCGGUGAUGUAAGACAGUUGUGAAAUCCCCGGGCUCAACCUGGGAACUGCAUCUGUGACUGCAUCGCUGGAGUACGGCAGAGGGGGAUGGAAUUCCGCGUGUAGCAGUGAAAUGCGUAGAUAUGCGGAGGAACACCGAUGGCGAAGGCAAUCCCCUGGGCCUGUACUGACGCUCAUGCACGAAAGCGUGGGGAG